GUCCUAGUAAAUUAAAAAGAUUAGACUAUAUUUAAUGCUAAAUUAGAACUAUGUUUCUUAAGCAAAGGAUGAAUUGCAAAUACAAAUGUACAAACUAGUGCUCCCAAAUUUUCCAUAUGUACUGACAAACCCCUGACACCUAGAAUAUGAACUACCAUGAAAUAAAUAUAUUUAGAAAACUAAAGCCCAUAUUAAGUUCCAUCUAGGAAACCAUAAAAAUCAAUCCAGGUUAAAUGAGACAUCACCUACUUUAAUAACGAAGUACAUUUAAAAUAUCAGGUACUUUUCAAUUCCUGACCAACAGUGGGUUCUUAGAAUGCAAAUAUUGAAAAAAGAACAUAUCAUUUUGCCAAGGAGUUUUCUAAAAAAGCAAAUACAACAGUUUCCCUCACUUACCUUGGGGCUGCUGUUGCUGAUACAGAUGUGGUAGUAGUAGGAGACCGGGACGAAGCAUCAUGACCAGGGGAAGUGAUAUUCACAACUCUCGCUACACCCUUCUCUGCUCUGGAGCAGUUUAGAGGAGAUGAGUUUUUCCCACCACGAACAGAGGUUGCUUUCAGGAGACUUUCUGCAGAUAGUGAGACUCGUUCUAAUGACUUUUCAUCAGCAGCUGCUGCCAAAUCUUCAUUACAGGUUUCACUUUUGUCAUCAUCUAUGACCACUAUGUUUUUGGGCAUAUCCUUGAACUGAUAAACAAGCCUCUGUCCUUCAACCUUUGCAAGAAUGCCCCUUUGGUAAUAAUAUCUGUAAGGAAAAAGUUCUUAAUGAAUCAAAUCACCAAGAAGAAUGGGUAAUAACAGAAACAUUCGCUCAUUUCUGUAAAAUAAGAAGUAGCACUUCCUGCCUGGAUUGUUCAAAUGGCUGAGAAUCAUGAGUAGGAAUGAAGUUGGAACCUGGUGCUGUAGGUCCCUAUAACCUUGAGAUAUAUAAAGUAGCAAAAAGUUCAUUCUUAAAGGAAGUAAUUUAACCUGAAUACAGACUAUUUUACGAACACUGAUAAAAAUUCAACUCAUAUUUAUACAUAGAUUACAAAAACAAUCUGAUGUAACAUG
Pipistrellus kuhlii (Kuhl's pipistrelle) is the source of this 1052-nucleotide long non-coding RNA. RefSeq lists it as uncharacterized. Lineage: Eukaryota; Metazoa; Chordata; Mammalia; Chiroptera; Vespertilionidae. The record is from RefSeq and is a predicted model, not a curated record. The transcript has 2 exons.